Molecule: long non-coding RNA, 307 nt
Filed under: Nicotiana benthamiana
Lineage: Eukaryota; Viridiplantae; Streptophyta; Magnoliopsida; Solanales; Solanaceae
Description: long non-coding RNA (NBEN_LNC001822)
Source: RNAcentral
UAGCAUUAGAAUAAAUAUAUUUGUCACUGUCGUAAAAAAAAUAACUCUUCAGAAUAUCACAUGGUCCAUUACAUACAGCUCAAGGUAAUAGGCAAAAGAAUGUGUCUUAUUUAGGGUAACCAAAUAAUAAAAAGAAAUUAGUUGGGACACCAAAAAAACAAUAUUUUCUCUAAAAGGGGCCACAAAGAACACCUAAACUAAUUAAUAUUUUCUCCAAAAGGGGCCACAGCUGCAACUUACAUUAAACACCAUCACAGAGAUAGAAAUCAUCAUGACAUUUACAAAACCAAAAUUACAACAAAUUUCC